CUACGGGCGGCAGCAGUGGGGAAUAUUGCACAAUGGAGGAAACUCUGAUGCAGCAACGCCGCGUGGAGGAUGACACUUUUCGGAGCGUAAACUCCUUUUAUAUAAGAAGAAGAUGACGGUACUAUAUGAAUAAGCGACGGCUAACUCCGUGCCAGCAGCCGCGGUAAUACGGAGGGCGCAAGCGUUACUCGGAAUCACUGGGCGUAAAGAGCGUGUAGGCGGAUUAAAAAGUCAGAAGUGAAAUCCUAUAGCUUAACUAUAGAACUGCUUCUGAAACUCUUAAUCUAGAAUAUGGGAGAGGUAGAUGGAAUUUCUGGUGUAGGGGUAAAAUCCGUAGAGAUCAGAAGGAAUACCGAUUGCGAAGGCGAUCUACUAGAACAUUAUUGACGCUGAGACGCGAAAGCGUGGGGAGCAAACAGGAUUAGAUACCCCAGUAGUC
This 439-nucleotide ribosomal RNA is filed under the name uncultured bacterium. Its description in RNAcentral is "partial 16S ribosomal RNA". It matches the Rfam family "Bacterial small subunit ribosomal RNA", at positions 339 to 795 of the family's 1533-position model. The record is from RNAcentral.